This 77-nucleotide transfer RNA is filed under the name bacterium. RNAcentral describes it as "tRNA-Val". It matches the Rfam family "tRNA". Rfam says of the family: Transfer RNA (tRNA) molecules are approximately 80 nucleotides in length. The record is from RNAcentral.
GGGCGAUUAGCUCAGUUGGCUAGAGCGCCUCGUUGACUUCGAGGAGGUCAGUGGUUCGAGCCCACUAUCGCCCACCA